This 429-nucleotide ribosomal RNA is filed under the name Bacteroidota bacterium. RNAcentral describes it as "Bacteroidetes bacterium partial 16S ribosomal RNA". It matches the Rfam family "Bacterial small subunit ribosomal RNA", at positions 355 to 776 of the family's 1533-position model. The record is from RNAcentral. Lineage: Bacteria; Pseudomonadati; Bacteroidota.
UAGGGAAUCUUCCGCAAUGGACGCAAGUCUGACGGAGCAACGCUGCGUGAGUGAAGAAGGAUUUCGGUUCGUAAAACUCUGUUGUUAGAGAAGAACAGCGCAUAGAGUAACUGUUAUGCGUGUGACGGUAUCUAACCAGAAAGCCACGGCUAACUACGUGCCAGCAGCCGCGGUAAUACGUAGGUGGCAAGCGUGGUCCGGAUUUAUUGGGCGUAAAGCGAGCGCAGGCGGUCAAUUAAGUCUGAUGUGAAAGCCCCCGGCUCAACCGGGGAGGGUCAUUGGAAACUGGUUGACUUGAGUGCAGAAGAGGAGAGUGGAAUUCCAUGUGUAGCGGUGAAAUGCGUAGAUAUAUGGAGGAACACCAGUGGCGAAGGCGACUCUCUGGUCUGUAACUGACGCUGAGGCUCGAAAGCGUGGGUAGCAAACAGG